AAACCAACAGGGAUUGCCCUAGUAACGGCGAGUGAAGCGGCAACAGCUCAAAUUUGAAAUCUGGCCCUCGGGUCCGAGUUGUAAUUUGUAGAGGAUGCUUUUGGCGCGGUGCCUUCCGAGUUCCCUGGAACGGGACGCCUUAGAGGGUGAGAGCCCCGUACGGUUGGACGCCUAGCCUCUGUAAAGCUCCUUCGACGAGUCGAGUAGUUUGGGAAUGCUGCUCUAAAUGGGAGGUAAAUUUCUUCUAAAGCUAAAUAUUGGCCAGAGACCGAUAGCGCACAAGUAGAGUGAUCGAAAGAUGAAAAGCACUUUGAAAAGAGGGUUAAAUAGCACGUGAAAUUGUUGAAAGGGAAGCGUUUGCGACCAGACCUUCGCCCGGCGGAUCAUCCGGUGUUCUCACCGGUGCACUUCGCCGGGCCUAGGCCAGCAUCGGUUUCCGCGGGGGGACAAAAGCGGGGGGAACGUAGCUCCCUCGGGAGUGUUAUAGCCCCUCGCAUAAUACCCUCGCGGGGACCGAGGACCGCGCUUCGGCAAGGAUGCUGGCGUAAUGGUCGUCAACGAC
RNAcentral lists this ribosomal RNA (562 nucleotides) under Xylaria phyllocharis. Its description in RNAcentral is "eukaryotic LSU rRNA". It matches the Rfam family "Eukaryotic large subunit ribosomal RNA", at positions 62 to 648 of the family's 3401-position model. Lineage: Eukaryota; Fungi; Ascomycota; Sordariomycetes; Xylariales; Xylariaceae. The record is from RNAcentral.